AGAAAAUACUCAUGUAGCAACAGGGUGGUUUGGUUUUCCUGACAUUUAAUUCUUACAUGGCAGGCAUCAGUGCUUUAAUGGGAGAGAAUUUUGGAAUGAAAGCAAACUCAUUAGUAGAAACCAAUUACAAAUCUGUGUUUCCUGCCCUUGACAAAAUUCCCUGUUUCUCUGUGUUGUUGUUUUGUUGUUGUUGUUGGUUUUGGUUGGUCGGUUGGUUUGUUUUGUUUUUCCCUUUAACUGUCAAGUCACGUCAAAGCUGAUUAUAAGAGAUGGGCCUUGCAGAAGACAACAUUACACGGGUGGGCUUUGGAUGCUAAGCUUCACCACUGUUCUGAAGAUCACAAAACUCAAUUUCAGCAUCUUUGUUCAUUCCCCAAGCCAGGGAAAACCCUAAAGUAAAAUCCCAGUGGUAAAUUUUUUUUAGCCUUGAGUCUAAGUUCAUGGAUUCUGAGAUGGAAGUAAAAAUUCUUAUAUCACAGUCAAAUGAAAUCAUGAUCAUGAAGCAGUUUCUACUGUAUUGGAAAGCCAAGUGGCCAAAUAUGGUUAUUUCCAUAUAUGGCAAAAUCAUUCCAUAUUCUUUUGCAUCACAAACACUCCAUGACCCUUAUAUGUCAUAACUGCUGACCUCUCAGGAUAGGCCAGAUAUAUGUCAGCUCACCAUCUGAUACAGAGCAACAUCAGAGAAACAGGCAGCUCUGCCUGGAGGCUGCCACCCCCUUACAGACACCUUGAAAGCAGCAAUGGUGAGAUCCAGGCGAUAUUGGGAGCAACGCAGCAGGGGAUGCUCCCAGCGGAGGCCGAGAGUCAGAGGCAGGAGACGAAAAAGGAGGCAAGGGAGAAUGAGGAGAAGGGCAGGAGGGAGCAAGAAAUACCAUUACAGGAGGUUGAGCACCACUGCCCUGGAGCAGUAGGGACCUGCAGGUGUGGAUUUCCUGCCGGGAGGGUCUGUGUCACACCCCACCAAGGUCACAGGGAGAUCUCUGUCACCUCACAAACCUUUGACAUCACUGGUGGAGCCUCUGAAGAUUCUUCACUAAUACACAGUGGGCACAAGUGAGCAGUGUGGUAAAGCCAAAAGAAGACUGUAAGCUUGAAAAAAAAAAAAAAAAAAAAAGCAUGUGAAAAAGGAGGAUCUUCAUUUCUCUGGGGAAAAAAAAUUACAACACUUCCACAGUUCAAAAUAAAAGAGUUGGGGACAGAGUGUUUUAAUCUUUC
This 1215-nucleotide long non-coding RNA is filed under the name Anser brachyrhynchus (Pink-footed goose). RNAcentral describes it as "lncRNA (ENSABRG00000012602.1)". Lineage: Eukaryota; Metazoa; Chordata; Aves; Anseriformes; Anatidae. The record is from RNAcentral.